Molecule: ribosomal RNA, 280 nt
Filed under: uncultured bacterium
Lineage: Bacteria
Description: partial 16S ribosomal RNA
Rfam family: Bacterial small subunit ribosomal RNA
Source: RNAcentral
GACGGAGGGGGGCUAGCGUUGUUCGGAAUUACUGGGCGUAAAGCGCGCGUAGGCGGCGCAUUAAGUCAGAGGUGAAAAGCCCGGGGGCUCAACCCCGGAAUUGCCUUUGAGACUGGUGUGCUUGAGUACGGAAGAGGUGAGUGGAAUUCCCAGUGUAGAGGUGAAAAUUCGUAGAUAUUGGGAAGAACACCAGUGGCGAAGGCGGCUCACUGGUCCGUAACUGACGCUGAGGUGCGAAAAGCGUGGGGGAGCAAACAGGAUUAGAUACCCCCGGUAGUCC